AGGGACUCGUGCGUUCAGUAGUACUGACAGAGAGGGAACACUGAGCGAACAGAGUCGAUGAAGAACAUGCAGAUUGUAUCACGGAGCAAGGGCAAGACCACGUGGCUGUAAACACGAGGUCUGAGAAACAGGAGAGGCUGGCAACGACCAGCAGCAAUGCCUAUCUGCACAGCCAUUUGCUUCUGCCAUGUCGACAUCUUCGCUCAACAAGCUUGUGAUCGUCAUGUUAGUGGUCUUCAUCAUUUGCCUACCCGAGUUCUUCCCUUCACAUCAAGCCAAGGUGAAAGAGAUUUCUCCUGCAUCCAUUCCCCCCAUGCCUGAUGAAGAGCCAAGGUGACACAAGGUGCUUCCCUCCAUCCAGGAGGGAUGGAGAUAUAGAGGAGGAACUCUGCACUGGACCAGGAAACGUGACAAACCGUCAUGACCCAGGAGUUACCUGGUUCAUAUGUGAGACUCACACAGAGCCAUCAGCUAUCCUUCACAACACCCUGCGGCCAGAAGGGAAUUCUGAGCCAUCUCUCAUAAUUCAGUCCGAGGACUUUGAGGGGCACAAUAUUACAUUCACGGGGAUUGGGAACCGCAGCCUCUUUCGUGUACCAGAGGAGCACAGGCUGCUGUUUUCCUGCGAUGGAGAGCCCACCCCCAAACCCGGGGGCCUUCCCCAGCCCUCCAAUUAUAGCUGCUGCAUCUUACGCUUACACAGGAUGAACUCCACCGCACUUAAAACUACACUAGUGUGGGCAUCCUCUGUGGGAGGUAGGGUGUUGGCUCGUCCUUUCAGCACUUUCUGAAUCACUUUGCUCCUGGGGACAUCGUUC
This 818-nucleotide long non-coding RNA is filed under the name Scleropages formosus (Asian bonytongue). RNAcentral describes it as "lncRNA (ENSSFOG00015029649.1)". The record is from RNAcentral. Lineage: Eukaryota; Metazoa; Chordata; Actinopteri; Osteoglossiformes; Osteoglossidae.